AAAACGUAGGUGACGAGCGUUAUCCGGAUUUACUGGGCGUAAAGCGCGUUCAGGCGGCUUGGCAAGUCGGGCAUUAAAUCUCUCGGCCUAACCGGGAGGGGCUGUCCGAUACUGCCGGGCUUGAGGGCGGUAAAAGGUGGUGGAAUUCCGCAUGUAGUGGUGAAAUGCGUAGAUAUGCGGAGGAACACCAGUGGCGAAGGCGGCCACCUGGGCCGUCCCUGACGCUGAAGCGCGAAAGCUAGGGUAGCGAACGGGAUUAGAAACCCCGGUAGCCCUAGCCGUAAACGAUGUUGACUAGGUGUCGGCGAUUAAAAACCGUCGGUGCCGCAGCAAACGCGAUAAGUCAACCGCCUGGGGACUACGGCCGCAAGGUU
Molecule: ribosomal RNA, 374 nt
Filed under: uncultured Chloroflexota bacterium
Lineage: Bacteria; Bacillati; Chloroflexota
Description: bacterial SSU rRNA
Rfam family: Bacterial small subunit ribosomal RNA
Source: RNAcentral